This 467-nucleotide ribosomal RNA is filed under the name uncultured bacterium. Its description in RNAcentral is "partial 16S ribosomal RNA". It matches the Rfam family "Bacterial small subunit ribosomal RNA", at positions 28 to 506 of the family's 1533-position model. The record is from RNAcentral.
GACGAACGCUGGCGGCGUGCUUAACACAUGCAAGUCGAACGGAAAGGCCCUGCUUUUGUGGGGUGCUCGAGUGGCGAACGGGUGAGUAACACGUGAGUAACCUGCCCUUGACUUUGGGAUAACUUCAGGAAACUGGGGCUAAUACCGGAUAGGAGCUCCUGCUGCAUGGUGGGGGUUGGAAAGUUUCGGCGGUUGGGGAUGGACUCGCGGCUUAUCAGCUUGUUGGUGGGGUAGUGGCUUACCAAGGCUUUGACGGGUAGCCGGCCUGAGAGGGUGACCGGCCAAAUGGGAAAUGGGAUAAGGCCCAGACUCCGAGGGGGGGAAGGAGGGGGGAAAAUGGCACAAGGGGGGGAGGCAGGGGGGAAAAAGGCCGGGGAGGGGAUAGCGGCCUUGGGGUGGUAAACAGCUUUAGCCGGUGAAGAGGCGGGAGUGAAGGUAAUGGGAAAAGAGGCACGGGCUAAAUACGG